CCUACGAGCGGCAGCAGUAGGGAAUUUUCGGCAAUGGGGGGAACCCUGACCGAGCAACGCCGCGUGAACGAAGAAGUUAUUCGUAAUGUAAAGUUCUUUUAACAGGGAAGAAAGAGAAAUUUGACGGUACCUGAAGCAUAAGCUACGGCUAACUACGUGCCAGCAGCAGCGGUAAUACGUAGGGAGCGAGAGUUAUACGGAAUGAUUGGGGGUAAAGGGUGCGUAGAUGGCAUAGAAAGUCUUUUGUAAAAAUGCUGGGCUCAACCCAGUAGGGCAAAAGAUACUGCAAAGCUAGAGGAUGACAGAGGCAAGUUGAACUAAUUGUGUAGCGGUAAAAUGCGUAAAUAUAUGUAAGAACACCAGUGUCGAAGGCGGCUUGCUGGGUCGAUACUGACAUUGAGGCACGAAAGCGUGGGGAGCAAACAGGAUUAGAUACCCUAGUAGUC
Molecule: ribosomal RNA, 446 nt
Filed under: uncultured bacterium
Lineage: Bacteria
Description: partial 16S ribosomal RNA
Rfam family: Bacterial small subunit ribosomal RNA
Source: RNAcentral